Molecule: ribosomal RNA, 301 nt
Filed under: uncultured bacterium
Lineage: Bacteria
Description: partial 16S ribosomal RNA
Rfam family: Bacterial small subunit ribosomal RNA
Source: RNAcentral
CAGCCGCCGCGGGAAAACGGAGGGUGCAAGCGUUAAUCGGAAUUACUGGGCGUAAAGCGCACGCAGGCGGUUUGUUAAGUCAGAUGUGAAAUCCCCGAGCUUAACUUGGGAACUGCAUUUGAAACUGGCAAGCUAGAGUCUUGUAGAGGGGGGUAGAAUUCCAGGUGUAGCGGUGAAAUGCGUAGAGAUCUGGAGGAAUACCGGUGGCGAAGGCGGCCCCCUGGACAAAGACUGACGCUCAGGUGCGAAAGCGUGGGGAGCAAACAGGAUUAGAUACCCCGGUAGUCCCUGUCUCUUAUAC